RNA transcript from Ictalurus furcatus (blue catfish), 1945 nucleotides. It is a transcript of the gene named N-acylethanolamine-hydrolyzing acid amidase, with no coding region annotated. The transcript is spliced from 8 exons. The record is from RefSeq and is a predicted model, not a curated record. Lineage: Eukaryota; Metazoa; Chordata; Actinopteri; Siluriformes; Ictaluridae.
CAGGAUGUAGGCAUGAACACUACCAGAGGUUUGCAUUAAAACUUCUGUAAACCACGGCGUGAAUGCAGGAGACGAUUUCGGUGUUUGAUGAUGCAGUCCGGGGUUUUGUGGUUGCUGUUCUCACUGACAGUUUGCGGUUCGAACAUUUCUCCGCCGGUGGUGAACAUCAGUCUGGACCAGACUCCGGAGCUGAGAUGGUCUCCACUUAAAGACCUCUUCAGUAAAGACUUCUUACAGAAAGCAGCAGCUCAGGUGAUCGAUUCGACAGUUCCAGCAUGGGUUCACCACGCUAUCAAACCUGUGGUGAGAGCUCUGGAGCGGUUUACCCCUCAGCCCUAUGCUGCUGAGAUCAGAGGCAUGGCAGCUAUCUAUGGCUCUGACAUCUCCGACAUCCUCCUGCUCAACUUCGCCUAUGAAGUUUCUGCGUUCUGUACCAGUAUUGUGGCUCAAGACACCAAGGGAAGAAUCUAUCAUGGUCGAAACUUGGACUACCCCCAUUCUGUGCUCAAGAAUCUUACGAUUGAUAUUCACUUCAUUAAAAAUGGAGAAGUGGCCUACAGGGGGACAUCUUUUGCUGGUUAUGUUGGGUUAUGGACUGGGCAAAGUAAAAACAAGUUCACUGUGACUGGGAAUCAGAGAGAUAAGGGCCACUGGUGGGACAAUAUAAUUUCUGCUGUCCUGUUUAAGAAUUCUCCUGUUAGCUGGCUAGUGAGAGAGACUCUUGAGGGGGCCUCAGACUUCCUGGAUGCAGCCAUACAGUUGUCUGCUGUACCCAUCAUCAGUGACGUGUACUACAUUGUGGGCGGUGUUUAUCCAGGAGAGGGUGUGGUCAUCACCAGAGACAGGAGCGGCCCUGCAGAUAUUUGGCCUUUGGAUACACUCAAUGGAAAGUUUUCUCAGUGGUUCCAGUGUGCAACAGGUGUGUGCUAUUUGACUGUAUUUGUGGAUUGUAAUUCAAUGCCAGAUUGUCGUUCACACAGCCUUUUAUUGUCUGGCAAGAGCAGGGGUGCGUAUCUGUAAUUUCACUUCCCCUAUUGAAGUUGAACAGAGUAACCACAUUUCCCUUUUUCUAGACGUAUGGAAUUACCUAGUGAAUGCAGUAAUAAGGAACUAAACAUUACUGAUUUCUGCCAGACAUAACCACUGAAACAGAUCAUUGCCUUCCUUCACUCUCAUAUUCUCCAUACAAACUUAUUUUGAGCUACUUUUGGGGUAAAUUUUUAAUUCAAAUUUUCAAACUUAUGCUAAACGAUCACAUCUACCUAUUAGUAGAUCUUAUUUAAAUACACUCAAAUGAAUUUUGGUAAUUGAUCUAUGCAGCUAAUAUAAUGAUUUAUUCAUUUGGCUAAACAUAUAUUUAGUCAUACGUUUUGCAGUUGGUAGUAUUUUGCAUUUUUGCAACUACCAAUUUUGCAUUGGUAAUCCUUGUAUUUCACAAAAACUGUAGUAAAUCAAACUGUUCUCAAAUUUCAAUGUUUACCUGGUGGCCAGGAGAACGGUCUACACGACAGUGAUGAGUGCAGCUGCCCCAGAAGAGUACAGAACCGUGAUUAGAGAGACCUGUGGUGAGUCCUUUGUGACAAAGGUCAACGGUCUAAACUAAAACCCCACCACACUUUCAGUAGUUCCAGACUCACAUACAACCAUAACAUUGCAAAUGAGCCAAUUUUAAUUCUAAAUUUUACAAGGCUACAAUAAUGAACUGUAUAUUUAGCUCAAUGGUAAUGUAGUGACAUUAGUGAGAUCAGUGGAUCUCUGUGCACUAGUGGAUUUUAUCAUUGUUAUGGUUGUUUUUAUGAUUGUUGCUAAUGUUAAUGUACUUGUACAUUUUAUAUGGUAAUAUUAUAAGGUUUAUAACAUGGGCUUACUUUUAGAUACGUCUUAUAUCUAGAGACUGCAUGUGUGUAAUCAUGACAUUAACUUUCUGACCAACAAGAUCAAUAAA